CGGGAGUGACUUAGCGGCGGACGGGUGAGUAACGCGUGGGUAACCUGCCCCAUACCGGGGGAUAACGGUUAGAAAUGACCGCUAAUACCGCUUAAGCGCGCGAGGCCGCAUGGCCGCGCGCGAAAAACUCCGGUGGUAUGGGAUGGGCCCGCGUCUGAUUAGCUAGUUGGCGGGGUAACGGCCCACCAAGGCGACGAUCAGUAGCCGACCUGAGAGGGUGGCCGGCCACAUUGGGACUGAGACACGGCCCAAACUCCUACGGGAGGCAGCAG
Molecule: ribosomal RNA, 272 nt
Filed under: uncultured bacterium
Lineage: Bacteria
Description: partial 16S ribosomal RNA
Rfam family: Bacterial small subunit ribosomal RNA
Source: RNAcentral